RNAcentral lists this ribosomal RNA (246 nucleotides) under uncultured bacterium. RNAcentral's name for it is "partial 16S ribosomal RNA". It matches the Rfam family "Bacterial small subunit ribosomal RNA", at positions 15 to 253 of the family's 1533-position model. The record is from RNAcentral.
GAUCCGGCUCAGGAUGAACGCUAGCUACAGGCUUAACACAUGCAAGUCGAGGGGCAGCAUGAACUUAGCUUGCUAAGUUUGAUGGCGACCGGCGCACGGGUGAGUAACACGUAUCCAACCUUCCGUUUACUCAGGGAUAGCCUUUCGAAAGAAAGAUUAAUACCUGAUAGUAUGGUGAGAUUGCAUGAUAACACCAUUAAAGAUUUAUUGGUAAACGAUGGGGAUGCGUUCCAUUAGGUAGUAGGG